AUAGUGUACCGCUCACAGUAAAUGUCAAAUGUAAUGAACUACCUACUGUGAUAGCCAUACAUGUUUCAAAUUAUUUUAAACUUUAUUACUAAGUUUAUGAUUUACAUUUUAAAAUGUAUAUAUGCGUACAAGUACGUACUCAAACAAUUAUCUCGUGUGAUAUUUUAUAAUAGCUUAUUGAAAAUAGAAGAUAAAGUAAAUAAUCGGAAAUACUGAGAUAAUUGUUUGAUUGAUUGUUAUAUUUGCGAUUUGGCUUCCGCCCGGUGGCAAGGAGUCCCGCUCCCCCUCUUCGUCUACUCGCUUAUUAUUAAUAGAACAAAGUCCGAAAAACACAGAAACAUUUGUCGCAUUCACAACAUUAUUUAAUAAAAACCACAUUAUUAUUUUGUGUGUUAACCCUUUUCCACAGUUUACAAUAUAGUUGUUUCAUAGGUAUUGUUUCUUUAAAAUGUACACAACCACACUGUCAUAUUUAAUAUUAUACCCUGGAAACAUUGAAGCAUUAGCAAAUUCCAUAGAGAAUAUUCAUAAUUUGUAAUUUUGAAAAUUUAAUGUACUCUGUUUUGUGACUGAAGAUACAAAUGGUAGGUAUACAUGUAAUUUCUUAUGAGAGUAGAUUUUUUGUUGAAAAAAUGUCUAAUAAUUAGUUUUUAAGUAGGUCUACUACUUAUGUUGCUUGAUUGUCUUGCAAAGAGGCAUUUAAUUUCUAUAGGAUUCAGAAAUACUUUGUAGUAAGCUCCGAGCUCUGCAAUGGGUAAUUUUUCCAUACUUAUAUUGUAUCCAAGUUUAUCCCUUUAUCCAGAUGGCAUGAUCUUGUAUGAUUGAUCCUGUGGUACAUGAUGCUUGCUGUUUUAAUUUAGUAUGUUGAAAGAUCCUGGACAUGUCAGAAAUAUUACAAUACAAACAAUGUUAGGAAGUAAAAAAUAAUAAUUAAUUUUCAGAUUUUUAUUUGAUCUGAUAAUACAAACAUAAUUCAUUAUUACAUCACAAUAUUUGUUAAAUUCAGGAUCUUUCAAUGUACUUAGUUAAAACUUCACUCAUCAAUGUACCAUAGGAUCAAUGUAAUCAGGAUCAUGCCAUUAGGAUCAAGAGAGAGACUUGGAUAUGCGAUGUGAAACUUUUAUCCUGCAGUGUAGUCAAAAGAAUUUGUGAGGUUAAAAGUGUUUAAAAAAUUCAAACAAAAUUGAAGUAAAAAAUAUUAAUUUGUUUCUCUUUGCCAAAUUACACAUUUUCCUAGACAUCAAGGACCAUCACAACUACCAACUUCCAAAAUUGAGUCUAAAUAAAAAAAAACUUAAUUAUAGUUACAAAUCACCUUAAAAAUAUGACUUUUUUACGGUUUUAUUAUUUUAUGACUUUCCAUAUUGUAUAUACAACUAACCUAACCAAUCUAGCUUACUCUCCCAGAAAAAAUGUAAGGAAUUAAUUAUUGUGAGAAUUUCAUUACUUUUAAUUUAAUUUACUUGUAAUUAAUGUAAAUGACCUAAUUUAACCAAUCUUUCACUUAAGCUAUGAUCACCUUGAAAUGAAAACACCUAGUUUCCUCAAAAAAAGAUCACUACAAAAUAUACACUUUAAGGAAAACUAUAAAUACUUAUUAUAAAAAUAUUACACAAUGCUUAAAAACUCACUUUUUCUAAUUAAUUAUCAACACUUUUUAUUGAUUGUGCAGACAUUAAAAUCUGUUGGGAAAAAAUGCAUUUCACCAUUAACUUAAUGAAGUAUUAAAAUAAAUAUGCAAUAUAAGCAAAUUCACUUAACAACUGCUCUUUAAAAUCAUUUUAAAAAACACCAAUGUCUACCAUGACCUGUUACAACCAUCAAAACCAAAAAUGAAUUUUCAAAUUACUUUGACUAUCAAAUGUAGGUAUCACUUUCGACAACAGAAAAGCAAGUUACAAUAAAAUUAACAGUAUUUAGAAACAUAAAAAUAAUUAAAAGUGCCACUAUUCAAAAGAUUUAGGCUAAUUAAUUCAUAACACAGUGAUCUCUUUAAUUAAUUUUAGGUGUAUAAAUUAUUAUUUUUUACCAGUUGCUACAAUUAGCAAAUAUUUAUUUUGUGUGCUUUUGACAUAAAUGAGAAUGACUUAAUGUCAUAUACAGUAUUGAAUGUGGCACUUCUUAAUUGCACACUCUUAUUUUAAAACAAAAUACUUGGGGGAAAAAACAUCUCUGUUUAAACAACUAGUUGGAGUAGGUAUCACAAAGUCUCUUUACAGAAUUAUCAGGUAUAAUAAAUAGUACUCAUAAAUACCAUUUAGGACUUCAGAAUUGUAUGUUUGUGUAUAUAAUAUUUUGAAAAAAUACCUUGGUUACUGUGUUUUUUAAUAAAUUGUGUUACAAAAUGGUUAUUUAAUAAAAUUUUAUUCUGUAUAGUCAAACUUAGUUGGCUGUGCAUCAUACGUACUUCUGUUUCAUACUGCUAUAGUGAAGAAGCCUUGAGAAUGGAUUGGAUUCAUUGCAACACUUGUUGGACACGUGUUGUAGAUGUGAAGAAUCUGACAUUUAGCAUCACGAGCUGUGGACAUAUCUUCUGUGAUAACUGCACUAAAACUGGUGAGCAAGUUUAUUUUCAGAGCUGAUAAGGCUAUGGGCUACUACCAUACAUUUUUCACACUGAGCAUUUUAUGCUUGUUUGAUAUUUGAAAACAAUUGUGGGUCUAGCAUGGAGUACAAAUUCAUUGAAGCUAACAAAAAAGAAUGAUGGUAAACUUUGUCUAAUUUUUCCUAAUGAAUUUUAUACUAUAUUUUUGAGUGGUUUUUAAAGCAUAGGUACUCUUUUAAUUUGUAAUUUGAAAUUCUUUUCAGAACUGUGCCUAUGAAAAGUUGUUUAAAUUGAUUGACUUAUAAUAAACUUAAAAGUUCAGGGAAACAAUUAAGUGGUAAAUGUUGGGCAUACACUUUUUAUAGUAGCCAUAUUAUUUUAUUUAUUUUAAUAUAUUUACUUGACAACAAGGAGGUUUUAUCAUCUAAUCACUACAAUGCUACCUGUGAAUUUAGACUAACCAGGUUGAGUCAGGUAACAGACCUGGCAAUGAUACAUGUCAGGUAUGUGGAAGAGAGUGUUCCAGACGCAUUCUGGAUUCAGAAGUUGGACACGACAUCCAACAGUUUUUCACAGAUAGUCGAGAAAUUUUGAAGAAAGCCUUGGAUGUGGUUUCAUUCCAAAAUGGUCAUCGUGAACGACUAAUGGGUUAUUUAUUUGGUGUUGUGGCAAAAUACAAAAUAUUGAAGAAAGAAACUGCUCGCCUAGCAGAUACUCUAAAUUCAGUGCAGAAAAAAGCAAAAACCUUUGGUCUCCAUACUUCUCCAAGCUGAUCACAUCUAAUAGGUUGUCGUUGAGACAGAACAAGCCUAACUCUGAGAUACGUGCCAGCCAGUCAUAUGCAUCACCACCCACUGCAAUGAAUUCUUACAGAGCGACAAACGUCGGCACACCAGUGACCCCGGUGACUGCCAAGAGCAGCCCCAGCUUCUCCGAUACGCAGUCUCCCCUCACUCCGGCGGAUCUCAAUUACAUUCGAUCAGGAAGGACAUCAAAUAUUUCUCCUACAGUGAUGAAUCUUAACACAUUGUCUUUGAAUUCACAACAGAAGACAAAUAAAAAGAUUGGUGCCAAGUACUUUCAGAGAACAGUUACAUAAAUCACAGUUGGACCUCAAGAGUUUAUGUAUUUCCUAUAAUUUCCCUAUGCUUAAUGUAUGAACAAGUACUUGUAUUGAUAAUUUUAUUUACUAUAUGUAUAAUUAGAUAGAAAUUUCACAAAUUCGCUCAAUCUCAAGCUAGAAUGCAAACCUUAAUACUCUUGCACUAAUGAUUGGACCACAGUUAUUUAGACACAUCCAUUUGCAACCAUGAACUAACAAUGCCCAGCUAGAAUAGAAGUAAGCGAAUCGGGUAGUGCCAAUUAAGAGAAGAAAAAAAGUUCAUACCAGCCAAUGGAAAAGCAAGAGCAAACAUAAGGUUUGAAUUUUAGUUUGAUGCCAAAUGAAUUAGCGAAAAUCCGGGUACAUAUGUACCAUAAUGUGUAGAUUAUAAAGUUUUGUUACUUAUUAAAUUUUGUCUAAUAUUUUCUGUUAUAACCAAAUCUAGAAGGCUGCAAAUUAGUAGGGGCUUGCACACGUCUUAUUUAGUAAUUUGGUGACUCCUUGUGGGGUCAAACAGUUUUGUUAAGAAAAAGUAACUGUAGAUAGAAAAUUAAGACUGCCCUGUAUUUUUUUUCCAUUGCUUUGUGUGCGCUAGCUUGUGUUUUUCUGUGUGAUCAUGUGUUGUGUGCCAGCCAGCGAAGCCUCGCUGUACUGACGCUGGUCUGUACGGGCUCGAUUCUGUUUGCUCUGUGUGGUCAGGAUCGCCAACAGGAUGGUCAGAUUAGUCUGGUGGAUGAAGUUUAUAAGUAAUAAAGUUGUUUAGCUUGUUAAGUGACAAUAUAUUUACACAUUUUCGUCAACUUGUCACAGUCCCACUUAGUACGUAUUCUUGUAUUUGAGAUAGUGACCAACAUAAACAAUAUGACAUACAUAAUGUCACCUCCUGGUUAUCCUCCGAGUUUGAAAUGGGGAAAUGCGGCACUGAAAGGAUGGGAGUGAAGCCUGUCAGUGGAUGAGGUGCUGUCCUGUUUUGGGAUGAAUGCCAGUAUACGUUAAUGGAAAGGGCCGUCCAUCAACUCACGGUUGGACAAGAGAGACUGAAGGGGUUGUGACUUGAUCACGUGAGAUGAAGACACAGAAGAGACUGAAUCUCGUCAAAAACUCCCAGACCGUCUGCCUUCGGAAUGCAAUGAUGCACAGUGAAAUACUAAUUCAACAAUUACAAAGUUUUCCUUCGUGGUAGGUGGCAUACUGUGCUUACCUAACCUGAGCAGUAAUCACGUGAGGCUCGUCACAAUGUCGCGCUUUUGUUUUGACUCAAUUGCGACACAAACAGGCUACUCUAAGAGUUAAUUAACAUUGAAACAUAAAACAUAAAAAAUAGAAGAUUAAUAUUAAACAAGAAUGGAGAGUUAACUGAAGGUGUGAAUGAAAUAAAUACUAAUAGCUGUGCAGUGCUGUGCAGCGUCUUGCUCCCGUGAGCUCCUGGGCACAACUGCCGCCUCCCUGGCACCCAGUGAGGCAGGAAGCGCGGCUUGAGGGUUGUGUGCAACACCUUGGCUUCUGACGUGAUUACGUGCUGGGUUUUCAGCGGCAAAGAACCACAAACAUUACAGAACUAAAUACACGUGAAUUAAAACAGGAUAAAAUUAAAAUGUCAGUUGUGGAGAAGAAUGAAAUGAAAAAAUUUACUGCGUAAUCACUGCUUCCAUAAGAGCAUUGCACUUGCACAGUUCAGUCACGUACGUGACACAGUGGGGUGGGUCGGAGGCUUAGCUUCAUUUAUAACAGCCUAGCGAGGGUCGGAAGGCACCGAGGAUGUGACGACGUCAAUAUGUAUGUAGGUAUAGUAAUAAUAAAUGCUGCAAACUUUGAGAAAUUUUCAUAUAGUUACUAGUUAAUAACUAAAAGAGUAAGUUAAAAAUUCCUCACUAGUGCCACUUUUCAAAAUUACUUCUCACAUAAGAUAUACCAAAAAUUUUAUAAGUAAUCAGUUUAAAGAAUUGUUAGUAAAAGUAUUUAUACUACAAAACUUUUGGCUCUGUAACAUUAUGUAUGGUCGAAUAGUUAUAUUGUGAAAAUAUAUGGUUUUUUAACCAUGUUGGUAAUCAUUGAACAAACUAUCCCAUAAGCUAACUAACACACAAACCUUUUCAAAUAAUUAUUUUUCUUAAUGCCUGCCAAACUAGUCACAACUUGUGACACAUAGCCCAUUACUAUGCAUUCUCGAUAAAUUUGAAAACCUCGUGAUUGAAAAAAAAUAUUCAGUUGAUGAUUUUUCAGUUCUUGUUGCAUGUUUUUUUUAAUCACCCUCAUUCUAAACACACUUAUGUUUUUUUUUUUUUUUCAGUAUAAUUAUUUACACAUGAAUGUUCCCCAUUGGUAUAUCCACCUUCAUCCAAAAUAUCCACUGAUAAUUCAUCAAAGCUAAAUUUUUUAUUGUGUGCAUAUGUAUUGUUUAUUGUAUAAUCUUAAUUCGGUGAUAACUUAGUACUUAGAAUGUGUGUUUGUAUACAAUAUUUAGAGACAUUGUCACAAAAUUUUGUUACUUAUUUUUGUAUUUAGAAUUUUUGUUUUUAUUGUGCUAAGUUUAAAGAGGCUUCCAUUAUUUAAAUGAAUGUAAGUAUUGAAAACUCAGAGAGCACUACUUGCAGCAGUAGUAUCAGCUAAUACAAAAAAAUUUUCCUCCAACUUACUAUGCCAAUUUGUUUUCACUUUAGUUUUAACCACCAUCUUUUUGGGUCUCUCCUAUCAUGCCUGUAGCUAUUUCUAAUUAUUCUUGCCAUUAGCAUUUUAUAACCAAAAUGAGCAGUUCCAAAUUUACUGGUAUUACAUUUGCAAAAAAAUAAAAUGGUUGACAAUGAAAAGCGUAAGGCAUUAGCUAACGAAGAUGCAUGUUAUAAACAAGAAGCCGUUUGAAUCCACCUGCAUUUACUUGCAUUGCACCUGCAUCAUAAAUUCUCAAAAACCCCAAUUUCCCUAUGCUGUUACAAUGAAUUAAAUUUUAUGUUUUGAUUGCAUUGAAUCUCUCUCUCUCUCUCUCUCUCUCUCUCUCUCUCUCUCUCU
Molecule: RNA transcript, 6653 nt
Organism: Bacillus rossius redtenbacheri
Lineage: Eukaryota; Metazoa; Arthropoda; Insecta; Phasmatodea; Bacillidae
Gene: vilya
Gene name: zip homologous protein 2
Exons: 8
Source: RefSeq, a predicted model, not a curated record